UACGGAGGGUGCAAGCGUUGUCCGGAUUCACUGGGUUUAAAGGGUGCGUAGGUGGCUUUGUAAGUCAGUGGUGAAAUCUUAGAGCUUAACUCUAAAACUGCCAUUGAUACUGCUUAGCUUGAAUCAAGUAGAGGUGGAUGGAAUAAUACAUGUAGCGGUGAAAUGCUUAGAUAUGUAUUAGAACACCGAUUGCGAAGGCAGUUCACUAUGCUUGUAUUGACACUGAGGCACGAAAGCGUGGGGAUCAAACAGG
This 253-nucleotide ribosomal RNA is filed under the name uncultured bacterium. Its description in RNAcentral is "partial 16S ribosomal RNA". It matches the Rfam family "Bacterial small subunit ribosomal RNA", at positions 524 to 776 of the family's 1533-position model. The record is from RNAcentral.